GAGUCUCCAUUAUCACUGUAUAUUGAAGAAGUUACGCCUCAAAAUACAUGCUGUAGAGUGACGCGAAGACAUUGAUUUGAAAAGCAGAUAUGGAGAAACUGAAAGCCUCAUAUGCUACUGGUAGAAAUACGGAGUGGUGUGGCUGUUUUGAAAUGAAAAUGUUUGGAGACCCAAGAUGGAGAUACCAGUUGGCACUGGAUAUUUGUGGUGAAAAUUCUUGCUUGGAGAAUUCAAGACAAAAU
This is a long non-coding RNA of Ochotona princeps (American pika), 242 nucleotides long. RefSeq lists it as uncharacterized. The record is from RefSeq and is a predicted model, not a curated record. Lineage: Eukaryota; Metazoa; Chordata; Mammalia; Lagomorpha; Ochotonidae. The transcript has 3 exons.